UACGUAGGGUGCAAGCGUUGUCCGGAAUUAUUGGGCGUACAGGGCUCGUAGGCGGUCUGUCACGUCGGGAGUGAAAACUCGGGGCUUAACCCCGAGCCUGCUUCCGAUACGGGCAGACUAGAGGUAUGCAGGGGAGAAUGGAAUUCCUGGUGUAGCGGUGAAAUGCGCAGAUAUCAGGAGGAACACCGGUGGCGAAGGCGGUUCUCUGGGCAUUACCUGACGCUGAGGAGCGAAAGUGUGGGGAGCGAACAGG
Molecule: ribosomal RNA, 253 nt
Filed under: uncultured bacterium
Lineage: Bacteria
Description: partial 16S ribosomal RNA
Rfam family: Bacterial small subunit ribosomal RNA
Source: RNAcentral